UGCAGAGAGAUGACAUGACCCACAUUGCACAAGGGGAAAGAGCAGCCAGAAACCUCUAACAUCACACAGCAGUUCCUGCUGGGAUGGGAUUGACUGGAUCCCACUCAUUUGCUGAGGCACGUUGCUCAUUAAAUGCUAGAGGAGCAGCCUGGGGAAUGGAGACUGAGUAACACUGAGAGAGGACCUGCAGGAGCAGUCAAACCUUGGUAGAAGAUCCAUGGACAGUGUGUCUCAAUACAGUCCUCUCUAGCUCUGUCCCACACACAGCCUUGUUGGUGAAGUGUUCUGCAAAGUGAACAGCCAGCCACAGAGGUGGAAGAGAGGAACUUCAGCUGGUAUCACUGCCAAAACCCCCAUGAGUGGUCUGCCAUGCCAAGCCAGCCCAGUCCCAAGAGGAGCUACCACAGCCAAGAACAAAGGGUGCUAAGGAAUGGAGUCCUGCAAUGAUGCACAUCUUUCGCUCCACAGCUGACCCUUCCACCAGGAAACCAACUGCAGCUUCAUCAGAUGCAGGUAGCUCCCCUUCCACAUUUCUGUCUCUGCAGCAGACUUCUGAGGUUUCCUGGCCCAUCACUCUAUUACUAACAUUAGCCAAGGAAUAAAAGUUGAAGGCCAAGAAUGCUUUCCUAGUCCCAGCUGGGAUGGGUCUGACUGUCUUGCUCAAGGUUUAGAUUAUAGAGCUGGACAUCAGUGUGUUAUCUGUGCAAGGAACACAGCUCUGUACCCGCCUGUGUGUACUGCAUGCAUCAGUGGAUAGAAGUUGGGCCUUUUGUUGGUUAAACAGCAGAGCUAUGCAGAGGAUUUGGAUGAGUUCUGCUGAAGUUUUGUAAACCAGCUACCAGGCUUUCUAAGUUCCCCACACCCUCCAUUUUCUUAAUUCUCGCUAACACAUAUCUAGCUGCUGCUGCAGUUGCUUCCCACCUCAGAACACGUACCAAC
Harpia harpyja (harpy eagle) is the source of this 939-nucleotide long non-coding RNA. RefSeq lists it as uncharacterized. The record is from RefSeq and is a predicted model, not a curated record. The transcript is spliced from 3 exons. Lineage: Eukaryota; Metazoa; Chordata; Aves; Accipitriformes; Accipitridae.